GGAGUUAGCCGGUGCUUCUUCUGUGAGUGAUGUCCUUCCUGCCGGCUAUUAACCCGCAGGCCUUCUUCCUCACUGAAAGUGCUUUACAACCCGAAGGCCUUCUUCACACACGCGGCAUGGCUGGAUCAGGGUUGCCCCCAUUGUCCAAUAUUCCCCACUGCUGCCUCCCGUAGGAGUCUGGGCCGUGUCUCAGUCCCAGUGUGGCUGAUCAUCCUCUCAGACCAGCUACGGAUCGUCGCCUUGGUGAGCCGUUACCUCACCAACCAGCUAAUCCGACAUAGGCUCAUCCGAUAGCGCGAGGCCCGAAGGUCCCCCGCUUUCCCCCGUAGGGCGUAUGCGGUAUUAGCCUGGGUUUCCCCAGGUUAUCCCCCACUACCGGGCAGAUUCCUAUGCAUUACUCACCCGUCCGCCGCUCGCCACCAGGGAGCAAGCUCCCCGUGCUGCCGCUCGACUUGCAUGUGUUAGGCCUGCCGCCAGCGUUCAAUAUGAGCCAGAUCAAACUCUGA
Molecule: ribosomal RNA, 506 nt
Filed under: uncultured bacterium
Lineage: Bacteria
Description: partial 16S ribosomal RNA
Source: RNAcentral